RNAcentral lists this transfer RNA (82 nucleotides) under Winogradskyella sp. PG-2. Its description in RNAcentral is "tRNA-Leu (CAA) (tRNA-Leu-CAA-1-1)". It matches the Rfam family "tRNA". Rfam says of the family: Transfer RNA (tRNA) molecules are approximately 80 nucleotides in length. Their secondary structure includes four short double-helical elements and three loops (D, anti-codon, and T loops). Further hydrogen bonds mediate the characteristic L-shaped molecular structure. tRNAs have two regions of fundamental functional importance: the anti-codon, which is responsible for specific mRNA codon recognition, and the 3' end, to which the tRNAs corresponding amino acid is attached (by aminoacyl-tRNA synthetases). tRNAs cope with the degeneracy of the genetic code in two manners: having more than one tRNA (with a specific anti-codon) for a particular amino acid; and 'wobble' base-pairing, i.e. permitting non-standard base-pairing at the 3rd anti-codon position. Lineage: Bacteria; Pseudomonadati; Bacteroidota; Flavobacteriia; Flavobacteriales; Flavobacteriaceae. The record is from Rfam by way of RNAcentral.
GCUCAAGUGGUGGAAUUGGUAGACACGUUGGAUUCAAAAUCCAAUGUCGUAAGACGUGUGGGUUCGAUUCCCACCUUGAGUA